CGCCGAACAGCCGCGAGCAGCGCCCGAAAGGGUCUGUGCGAGGAAAGUCCGGGCUUCACAGAGCAAAAAUAACGGCUAACGGCCGCCGGGGGCGACCCCAGGGAUAGUGCAACAGAAAGCAACCGCCCGCUUUGCGGGUAAGGGUGGAAAGGUGAGGUAAGAGCUCACCGGAGGGCGGGAGACCGCUCUGCCGUGUAAACCCUAUUUGAAGCAACACCGUGGAGGAACAUUUGCGCUUGCUCGGCGCGUUCCGGGGAGGUGGCGUUGAGCGGCUCGGGCAACCGACCGCCAAGAUAGAUGGCUGUUCAAGACAGAACCCGGCUUACAGACGCAGUC
This 336-nucleotide RNase P RNA is filed under the name uncultured Ruminococcus sp. RNAcentral's name for it is "Bacterial RNase P class A". It matches the Rfam family "Bacterial RNase P class A". From Rfam's summary of the family: Ribonuclease P (RNase P) is a ubiquitous endoribonuclease, found in archaea, bacteria and eukarya as well as chloroplasts and mitochondria. Its best characterised activity is the generation of mature 5'-ends of tRNAs by cleaving the 5'-leader elements of precursor-tRNAs. Cellular RNase Ps are ribonucleoproteins. The record is from RNAcentral. Lineage: Bacteria; Bacillati; Bacillota; Clostridia; Eubacteriales; Oscillospiraceae.